AGUGGAUGGGGAGCAACCUAGUUGUGCGUGUGUAAAGGUAGUGCCAAGAAAAGCGAUGAUCAUGUUGAAAAUCAAUUCCCGGUACCCGAAACCGACACAGGUGGGCAAGUAGAGAAUACUAAGGGGCGCGAGGUAACUCUCUCCAAGGAACUCGGCAAAAUGACCCCGUAACUUAGGGAGAAGGGGUGCCACCGAGAGGUGGUCGCAGUGAAGAGGCCCAGGCGACUGUUUAGCAAAAACAUAGGUCUCUGCAAACUCGAAAGAGGAGGUAUAGGGGCUGACGCCUGCCCAGUGCCGGAAGGUUAAAGAAGUUGGUCAGUUUUAGGAUGAAGCUAGCGACUGAAGCCCCGGUGAACGGCGGCCGUAACUAUAACGGUCCUAAGGUAGCGAAAUUCCUUGUCGGGUAAGUUCCGACCCGCACGAAAGGCGUAACGAUCUGGGCGCUGUCUCGGAGAGAGGCUCGGCGAAAUAGGAUUGUCUGUGAAGAUACGGACUACCUGCAUUUGGACAGAAAGACCCUAUGAAGCUUUACUAUAGCUUGGAAUUGUGUUCGGGCUUCCUGUGCGCAGGAUAGGUGGGAGGCGUAGAAGGUAUUCUUGUGGGGAUACUGGAGCCAACGGUGAGAUACCACUCUCAGGAGGCUAGAAUUCUAACUUAAUUAAGGACAGUUUCAGGUGGGUAGUUUGACUGGGGCGGUCGCCUCCAAAAAGGUAACGGAGGCGUACAAAGGUUCCCUCAGACUGGUUGGAAAUCAGUCGAAGAGUGCAAAGGCAGAAGGGAGCUUGACUGCGAGAAGAACAGUUCGAGCAGGGUGGAAACACGGUCUUAGUGAUCCGACGGUGCUGUGUGGAAGGGCCGUCGCUCAACGGAUAAAAGUUACUCUAGGAUAACAGGCUGAUCUCCCCCAAGAGUUCACAUCGACGGGGAGGUUUGGCACCUCGAUGUCGGCUCAUCGCAACCUGGGGCGGAAGUACGUCCCAAGGGUUGGGCUGUUCGCCCAUUAAAGCGGUACGUGAGCUGGGUUCAGAACGUCGUGAGACAGUUCGGUCCAUAUCCGAUGUAGGCGUGAGAAUAUUGAGAGGAGCCUUCCUUAGUACGAGAGGACCGGGAAGGACGCACCGCUGGUGUACCUGUUAUGAUGCCAAUUGUAAACGCAGGGUAGCCAAGUGCGGAGAGGAUAACCGCUGAAAGCAUCUAAGUGGGAAGCCCACCUCAAGAUGAGUAUUCUGGUGUAAGGUCACGGGAAGACGACCCGUAAAUAGGCACGAGGUGGAAGUGCAGAGAUGUAUGAAGCCGAAGUGUACUAAUAGACCGUCGGCUUGAC
This 1324-nucleotide ribosomal RNA is filed under the name metagenome. Its description in RNAcentral is "bacterial LSU rRNA". It matches the Rfam family "Bacterial large subunit ribosomal RNA", at positions 1561 to 2925 of the family's 2925-position model. The record is from RNAcentral.